UACGACUACAUAUCAGGCAUAUCAAUAAGCGGAGGAAAAGAAACUAACAAGGAUUCCCUUAGUAACGGCGAGUGAAGCGGGAAGAGCUCAAAUUUGAAAUCUUCAAGGUUCUACCUUGACGAAUUGUAGUUUAAAGAAGUGUUUUCUGUUAGAUGAGUAGCAAAAGUUCCUUGGAAUGGGACAUCAUAGAGGGUGAGAAUCCCGUAUUUGGUUAUUCAUUCUAGCUUUGUGAUACACUUUCAAAGAGUCGGAUUGUUUGGGAAUGCAGUCCAAAAUGGGUGGUAAAUUUCAUCUAAAGCUAAAUAUUGGCGAGAGACCGAUAGCGAACAAGUACCGUGAGGGAAAGAUGAAAAGAACUUUGAAAAGAGAGUUAAACAGUACGUGAAAUUGUCAAAAGGGAAGCGUUUGACACCAGUGUUGUUUAGUUGAAAAUCAAUUCAAUAGUUUUUGAUUCUAAGUAGUAUUGACUUCAUCAGCUUGCUGCUUUCUUCUCAGAAAUUAUUGAAUGCACUUUUCAGUUAACAAGUCAACAUCAAUUUCUUUUGUUGUAAAAGGGUAAGAGGAAGGUGGCUUGCGCUUCGGCUCAAGUGUUUAUAGCCUUUUAUCUCUGCAAUCGGAGAGAUUGAGGUCUGCAGCGCAGAUCUUUCGGGGUUAGAUACAUUGGUGCUAAGCUAUAGCCUUGUAUAGACAACUUGUUGACUAUGCUCAGUCAUGUAGCUUACUCGCUGAUGCUAUUUUACCUACGCUUAGGGUGUUGAGUAGCGACAUACGCAC
Molecule: ribosomal RNA, 774 nt
Filed under: uncultured Neocallimastigales
Lineage: Eukaryota; Fungi; Neocallimastigomycota; Neocallimastigomycetes; Neocallimastigales
Description: partial large subunit ribosomal RNA
Rfam family: Eukaryotic large subunit ribosomal RNA
Source: RNAcentral